GUUCAAAUUCAAAUUUGAACAACACUUGUAAACAGUGAUGAAAUGUUAACAAAUGUGUUAGUUUAUAUUUAGAAAAGCCGACGGCGUUUGAAAUCUCAUAACUUUUUUCACGAAUACAGGUGCAGUUCCCCUGUAGACACACGCGGGGGCGCUGUUCUGUCUGGUUGAUGGAGCAUUGAGCGACGAGAAGAAGACUGACGUACCGACUUCAAAAAAAAGGCGCGGGCGCGGAUCAGAUCAGAGACGGGUGACUAGUUGUCGAUGCAAUGGCACUGACGGAAGAACUUUUAAAACAUAUUAAGGCGUUCAAAUACACAUAAGGGCAGAAGGAAAAUUGUGAAACGGAUGCAGAAACGUGGUAUCCUGACGACGACGAUGUGCGCAAAAUGCAACCGUAGCAUGUCUGGUGAAAUGCCAAGGAUGGGCUGUGGUGGCUCUGUAAGCAUCAUAAAAGUUUCCCAAAGUCUGUAAGUAAUGGCUCAAUAUUCACCAAGUCUCACAUCGCUCUGAGAAAAUGGCUUGAGUUCAUGCACAGCCUCUUUGCCCUCAGCCGCUGGGUUGAACGGACCUGAUGACUGACUGGUGAAGGUUCCUGGGAUCCCCCGUGGUGAAGUGACAGUGUUCACACCUCCACAACUCAAUCCUCUCUGCUUCUGAGAGCUCAAGUGUCCUUUUGUUGGGUAUCAUUUAAUUGGGUUCUCUUAGUCUCCCUCUGCCAUCAGGUUGGCGUGUGAUUUUGAAUAAAUUGUCUAAAUCUAUUGGAUAGAUAGCCAUGAAAAUCUGGUGCACCUCAGGAUAACAUUUUAUUCAUUCAUUUAAUGUGGUGACAUCGUCUGGUGGACAUUUCGUUUUCUUCAUUUGCCCAAAUACCUCCAAAACUAAUUACAUUCAUAUUCACCUGCGCUUCUGAUAUGUGUUGUUUUUAUUGCCAAUAAGGAACUGAUAACAUGCUAAUGAGAUGGGGAAUAUUUCAAAGGUUUUAUAUGUUAAACACCAACAUGAUUUAAUUUUAAGUAACUUAGCAUGCUGACAUUAGCAUUUAGUUAAAAAACCUAGCAUUUAAAUGUUUUCACUGAAUAAACUUUAAAACACCAACUACUCGUGUUUGUUGUUUGAAAUGUCAUCAUUAGUUUUCAUUUACAAAGAAUAAAUGUUUUCCUCUCUGGUACAUUCAGUGAUGAGGAGACGAGUACAGAAGCUGAUAAACACAAACAAGAAAAAUAUAGAAAUAGUCAUAAUCUACCAUCUCAAAGUGUCAAUGAGUCAUCACUUCAAAAACCUUUCUGAGAACACAACUUACAGGAGUUGCACACUGAACUAUUAAACCAUUAAAACCACACUGUAUGCUUUGGAUAAAAGCAUCAGCUAAAUGAAAAUGUUAAACUAAGUUAAAUAAUAUACUGAAUAUUUAAAUGUCACUUCAAAUGUUUAUACAAUCUAAUUCAUAG
Long non-coding RNA from Gasterosteus aculeatus aculeatus (three-spined stickleback), 1448 nucleotides. Lineage: Eukaryota; Metazoa; Chordata; Actinopteri; Perciformes; Gasterosteidae. The record is from Ensembl.